Small nucleolar RNA from Girardinichthys multiradiatus, 136 nucleotides. RefSeq annotates it as small nucleolar RNA SNORA17. The record is from RefSeq and is a predicted model, not a curated record. The transcript has a single exon. Lineage: Eukaryota; Metazoa; Chordata; Actinopteri; Cyprinodontiformes; Goodeidae.
CCUGCCCCUUGAGGCGUUGCAGCUCAACUGGAUGUGUUGCAGCUGCGUCAUGAGGCGGCAGAGAGAAACCGCUGGUGGUCUGCACCGGGACUCUAGAACUCGGUGGGAACUCGGAGUCGAUAUCACCAUCAACACU